GAUGAACGCUGGCGGCGUGCCUAACACAUGCAAGUCGAACGGAGAUUCCGGACGGAAGUUUUCGGAUGGAAGACUGUAAUUCUUAGUGGCGGACGGGUGAGUAACGCGUGGGCAACCUGCCCUAUACAGGGGGAUAGCAGCUGGAAACGGCUGGUAAGACCGCAUAAGUCGGUUAAAUCGCAUGAUUUGAUCGGGAAAUGAGCAAUCAGGUAUAGGAUGGGCCCGCGUCCGAUUAGCCAGUUGGCAGGGUAAAAGCCUACCAAAGCGACGAUCGGUAGCCGGACUGAGAGGUCGGACGGCCACAUUGGGACUGAGACACGGCCCAAACUCCUACGGGAGGCAGCAGUGGGGGAUAUUGCACAAUGGAGGAAACUCUGAUGCAGCGACGCCGCGUGAGUGAAGAAGUAUUUCGGUAUGUAAAGCUCUAUCAGCAGGGAAGAUGAUGACGGUACCUGACGAAGAAGCUCCGGCUAACUACGUG
Molecule: ribosomal RNA, 481 nt
Filed under: uncultured bacterium
Lineage: Bacteria
Description: partial 16S ribosomal RNA
Rfam family: Bacterial small subunit ribosomal RNA
Source: RNAcentral